CCUACGGGGGGCUGCAGUGGGGAAUUUUGGGCAAUGGGCGAAAGCCUGACCCAGCAACGCCGCGUGAAGGAUGAAGUAUUUCGGUAUGUAAACUUCGAAAGAAUAGGAAGAAUAAAUGACGGUACUAUUUAUAAGGUCCGGCUAACUACGUGCCAGCAGCCGCGGUAAUACGUAGGGACCAAGCGUUGUUCGGAUUUACUGGGCGUAAAGGGCGCGUAGGCGGCUCUGUAAGUCACUUGUGAAAUCUCUGAGCUUAACUCAGAACGGCCAAGUGAUACUGCAGAGCUAGAGUGUAGAAGGGGCAAUCGGAAUUCUUGGUGUAGCGGUGAAAUGCGUAGAUAUCAAGAGGAACACCUGAGGUGAAGACGGGUUGCUGGUCUAACACUGACGCUGAGGCGCGAAAGCCAGGGGAGCAAACGGGAUUAGAUACCCCUGUAGUC
RNAcentral lists this ribosomal RNA (440 nucleotides) under uncultured Acidobacteriota bacterium. RNAcentral describes it as "bacterial SSU rRNA". It matches the Rfam family "Bacterial small subunit ribosomal RNA", at positions 338 to 795 of the family's 1533-position model. The record is from RNAcentral. Lineage: Bacteria; Pseudomonadati; Acidobacteriota.